UCGAGAAUUUUUCACAAUGGGGGAAACCCUGAUGGAGCGACGCCGCGUGGGGGAUGAAUGGCUUCGGCCCGUAAACCCCUGUCAUUCGCGAUCAAAUGUUAUUGUUUAAGAGAUGAUAGCUUGAUAGUAGCGGAAGAGGAAGGGACGGCUAACUCUGUGCCAGCAGCCGCGGUAAUACAGAGGUCCCAAGCGUUGUUCGGAUUCACUGGGCGUAAAGGGUGCGUAGGUGGUGAGGUAAGUCGGAUGUGAAAUCUCGGAGCUUAACUCCGAAACUGCAUUGGAAACUACCUUGCUAGAGGGUUGGAGGGGGGACUGGAAUUCUCGGUGUAGCAGUGAAAUGCGUAGAUAUCGAGAGGAACACCAGUGGCGAAGGCGAGUCCCUGGACAACUCCUGACACUGAGGCACGAAAGCUAGGGGAGCAAACA
RNAcentral lists this ribosomal RNA (426 nucleotides) under uncultured prokaryote. RNAcentral describes it as "bacterial SSU rRNA". It matches the Rfam family "Bacterial small subunit ribosomal RNA", at positions 355 to 774 of the family's 1533-position model. The record is from RNAcentral.